RNAcentral lists this ribosomal RNA (253 nucleotides) under uncultured bacterium. RNAcentral describes it as "partial 16S ribosomal RNA". It matches the Rfam family "Bacterial small subunit ribosomal RNA", at positions 524 to 776 of the family's 1533-position model. The record is from RNAcentral.
UACGUAGGGUGCAAGCGUUGUCCGGAAUUAUUGGGCGUAAAGAGCGUGUAGGCGGCCCGAUUAGUCCGCUGUGAAAGUCCAGGGCUCAACCCUGGAAUGCCGGUGGAUACUGUCGGGCUAGAGUCCGGAAGAGGAGAGUGGAAUUCCCGGUGUAGCGGUGAAAUGCGCAGAUAUCGGGAAGAACACCCGUGGCGAAGGCGGCUCUCUGGAACGGUACUGACGCUGAGACGCGAAAGCGUGGGGAGCGAACAGG